This is a long non-coding RNA of Girardinichthys multiradiatus, 361 nucleotides long. RefSeq lists it as uncharacterized. Lineage: Eukaryota; Metazoa; Chordata; Actinopteri; Cyprinodontiformes; Goodeidae. The transcript is spliced from 3 exons. The record is from RefSeq and is a predicted model, not a curated record.
GCAGGAGGCUAUAUCCACUCCGAAGCCAGCGACUAAUCUGAUUAAUGACAGGCCGGAGCCAGUACCUGAGCAGCCGGACAAUGAGAAGGAGAGUACUCACCUGCGUUAGCAAUGGAUGGCUGGUGAUAGCAUUGAAGAGUGACUAGCAUGCCAUUUUUCUUCUCUUUUUUGAUGUACGGCUGCAUGGAAAUGAAUGCAGUGCUUUUCACACCGAAGCAUCAGAGUCAGGACACCAGAAUGCUGGUGUGGAACCACAGCUUCAAGCAUGUACCCAGUUAAUGCCUUAAAGGUGAGAAAAACAUAAAAAUAAAAAUAAAACACCACUUUUACAUCCAGUUCUUAAGCAUAAAUCUGCUGCUGC